This 67-nucleotide transfer RNA is filed under the name bacterium. RNAcentral describes it as "tRNA-OTHER". The record is from RNAcentral.
GCGGGACCAUUGGUGUGGGCCUGGGCCCCAUAAGCCCGGAGCGCGGGGUUCGAUUCCCCGUCCCGCU